RNAcentral lists this unclassified non-coding RNA (240 nucleotides) under soil metagenome. RNAcentral's name for it is "partial contains 5.8S ribosomal RNA, internal transcribed spacer 2, and large subunit ribosomal RNA". The record is from RNAcentral.
AACCAUAGAAACCUGCGGAGUACCUGCGGAAGGAUCAUUACACAAUACGAUAUGAAGGCUGUCCGCAGCUGGAGUAUUUUAUUACCCUUGUCUUUUGCGCACUUGUUGUUUCCUGGGCGGGUUCGCUCGCCACCAGGACCACCAAAUAAACCUUUUUUAUGCAGUUGCAAUCAGCGUCAGUACAAACAAUGUAAAUCAUUUACAACUUUUAACAACGGAUCUCAGAUCGGAAGAGCACAC